Molecule: ribosomal RNA, 598 nt
Filed under: Mucor sp. KACC 46077
Lineage: Eukaryota; Fungi; Mucoromycota; Mucoromycetes; Mucorales; Mucoraceae
Description: eukaryotic LSU rRNA
Rfam family: 5.8S ribosomal RNA (bases 221-373)
Source: RNAcentral
AAGGAUCAUUAAAUAAUCAAUAAUUUUGGCUUGUCCAUCAUUAUCUAUUUACUGUGAACUGUAUUAUUACUUGACGCUUGAGGGAUGUUCCAUUGCUAUAAGGAUAGGCACUGGAAAUGUUAACCGAGUCAUAAUCAAGCUUAGGCUUGGUAUCCUAUUAUUAUUUACCAAAAGAAUUCAGAAUUAAUAUUGUAACAUAGACGUAAAAAAUCUAUAAAACAACUUUUAACAACGGAUCUCUUGGUUCUCGCAUCGAUGAAGAACGUAGCAAAGUGCGAUAACUAGUGUGAAUUGCAUAUUCAGUGAAUCAUCGAGUCUUUGAACGCAACUUGCGCUCAUUGGUAUUCCAAUGAGCACGCCUGUUUCAGUAUCAAAACAAACCCUCUAUCCAACUUUUGUUGAAUAGGAUGACUGAGAGUCUCUUGAUCUAUUCUGAUCUCGAACCUCUUGAAAUGUACAAAGGCCUGAUCUUGUUUGAAUGCCUGAACUUUUUUUUAAUAUAAAGAGAAGCUCUUGCGAUAAAACUGUGCUGGGGCCUCCCAAAUAACACAUCUUUAAAUUUGAUCUGAAAUCAGGUGGGAUUACCCGCUGAACUUAA